Molecule: RNA transcript, 2518 nt
Organism: Solanum lycopersicum (tomato)
Lineage: Eukaryota; Viridiplantae; Streptophyta; Magnoliopsida; Solanales; Solanaceae
Gene name: zinc finger CCCH domain-containing protein 46
Source: RefSeq, a predicted model, not a curated record
AUGGAUGGCUAUGAAGCUACAAAGAUAGUUUUAUCAAGAAUUCAAAGUUUGGAUCCAGAAAAUGCUUCAAAAAUUAUGGGGUAUAUACUGAUACAAGAUCAAGGGGAGAAGGAGAUGAUAAGAUUAGCUUUUGGUCCAGAAACCCUUUUGGUUUCUUUGAUAAAUCAAGCUAAAACUUGUUUAGGAAUUUCAUCAAACAAUUCAUCUGCAAUGUCAAAAUUGAAUCUUUUUCAUCAAUCUUCACCAAGAAUCAUCAUUCCUAACAAUGGGUUUCCUUCUUCUUCUUCACCUUCUUCACCUUCUCCUUGGUCUACUAAUGGGUCACCAGUUUUUACAAGAAGUCCUAGACCAUUGGCUUCACCAGUAGGAGGAGGAGGAGGGGGGUCUAGUUCACUUUCUUAUGCUGCUGUGGUGAAUGGUUCUACUAAUUCUGUUUCUGGGGGUUCAACUACUUCACUGUCACUCCCUUUUUAUGACCCAAAUAAUGAUGAGUAUGGUGGUAGUGUUCAACAAGCUCAAGUUCAAGAACACUUGUCUUUUCUUGAUGAAUCAUUGGAUCCAAUUAUGAGUCCUAGUGGAAGAAGUGAUUCUUUGGUUUUCCCUUAUGGGAAUUGUGAGGAAACCCCUCAUCUUCAUCGUAGGAGUUGUUCAGUCAAUGAUGUUUUUCUUGGUGGUUCAGAUGAUGGUGGUGGUGGGUUUGGUUGGAGGCCUUGCAUGUAUUUUGCUAGAGGGUUUUGCAAAAAUGGGAAUAGUUGCAAGUUUAUGCACAGUGGAUUUCCUGAUUCUUCUUCUUCACCAGAUGCUAUUGUUGGUUCUCCUAGUAAAGUUGACUCUGUUGAGGAUUUCUUGAGGAUGAAGGCUUUACAACAGCAGCAGCAACAGAGGUUUGCUGCUGCCUCUCUUAUGGCUUCUGGUGCUCAUCACCAUCCAAUUGCUUACAACAAAUGCAUCAACAUCUUGAAUGAUAACCAAAGAUCAGCUGCUGCGACAUUUAUGAUGGGUGAAGAAUUCCACAAAUUCGGUAGGUGCCGUCCUGAUAGAAAUGAUUUUUCAGCAAUGGCGUUGGGUGGCAUCUCAAGUUCAAGUUCACGACAAAUUUACCUAACAUUUCCUGCGGAUAGCACAUUUAAGGAGGAGGAUGUGUCUAACUACUUUAGUAUGUAUGGGCCUGUCCAAGAUGUUAGAAUUCCAUAUCAGCAGAAGCGAAUGUUUGGAUUCGUUACAUUUAUCUACUCUGAAACUGUUAAGAUGAUCUUGGCUAAAGGAAACCCACAUUUUGUGUGUGAUUCUCGGGUACUUGUAAAGCCCUACAAAGAAAAGGGAAAAAUCGCGGAUAAGAAGCAGCUUCAGCAACAACAACAUCCAAUUGAUAGAGGAGAUCUGUCGACCUGUUUAAGCCCAUCAGCUCUUGAAUCUAGGGAGCCGUUUGACCUUCCCUUUGGAGCAAGAAUGUUAUAUAAUUCACAUGAGAUGAUGUUGAGAAGAAAAAUAGAGCAGGAGGCUGAAUUACAGCAAGCCAUCGAACUUCAAGGCAGAAGGUUAAUGAAUUUGCAACUGCUGGACCUGAAGAAUCAACAUCGCAAUGAUCACUUCCCACCCAGCCUCUCUCCUGGUCUUCCAACGGCCUCCCAGAUGCAGUUUCACUCUCCAAACAAUCACAAUCUUGUUCCUGUGUUGAAUGACAUUGAUCAAGAAGUCCCUGCAGAAAGUAACAAUACUCAUGAAGCUACCAACGCCCCCCAUAAUGCAGCUGAUGAAAAGGUGCCUCAAGAAAUGCUGCCUACUGAUUUUGGGCAUGGAAGUAGCAGCAAGGAGCAGCGCUCCAAUAUUGACAACUCUAAUCUUCAAGAAAGCUUCGAGCAUAUCCUUCCCGAUAACCUUUUUGCUUCUCCUACAAAGUCAGCUGCAGAAAACCAGGCCGCGUUCUCCACUGAUUCAGCUGAAGCUGGCGUUAGUUCUCCAAUAACUACUGCUACUUCUAACAAUAAUAUCCCUAUGCUUCCUACGACAACUACCCUCAACAUGGCUUCUCUUAAAUCAUGUUACUUCCACAGGCCAAGCCAUUGAAAUGUAGGUGUUAAGAGUUGUGCAUGGCUAGCUAGGAGGGAUUAACUUAGAAAAACGCAUGAGUAGUAGCAUAUACAAGAAGUAAAAGUCCUCUAGCUGUAUAGCCAAACAAUACCCUCAACAGAAGAAAAGAUCGAUCUACCGGUAAGGAAGAUAUUCUCAAGAUUGUUGUCAUCAUCAAUACCAUACUACUUACAACAAAUACAUAAAUGUAUACAUAAAGGACAGAUGAACUGAUUAAUGGGAGUGGGGUCUCUCUCUCUCUCUAUAUUUUGUACCCUCUUUGUAGUUGUGUGCUGGACCACACUGAACAAUAGCAAAAAUUAAAGGCAGGCUAGUAGUAACCCCUUAGUUAUGAUGGUAAUUUCCUCCCUUUUCUCUGCUUUUACUGUUGUAACUUGCUAUGAUGUAAAAAAUUGAAGUCGAAAAAAUGAAAAUGUCUUUUAGAUCA